RNAcentral lists this transfer-messenger RNA (377 nucleotides) under Clostridiaceae bacterium. It matches the Rfam family "transfer-messenger RNA". From Rfam's summary of the family: Bacterial tmRNA, also known as 10Sa RNA or SsrA, is named for its dual tRNA and mRNA-like properties. Its role is to liberate the mRNA from a stalled ribosome. The record is from RNAcentral. RNAcentral also lists the same sequence under 1 other name. Lineage: Bacteria; Bacillati; Bacillota; Clostridia; Eubacteriales; Clostridiaceae.
GGGGAUGACCAGGUUUCGACAGGGUCAUGGAGCGUUAGGUAGCGGGUGGCGGAUGCUCGUUGGCCGCCUUAACAAACGAGUAAACAAUUUAAUUGCCAAAAACAAUUAUUCUUACGCGGUAGCGGCUUAAGCGACCGCCGUCGUUUCUCCUGAAUCUGUAGGGAGGAAGCCGACGUCAGAUCCAGACCUUGCCGAUCGGAGGUAAAUCGGAGAACGUAAGUAGCGAUUGAUCCGUAACUGCUUAUGAAUCAGGAUCUCACCGCUAUGGCAGUCGGUCAGCGGACGGCCGUGACGGGAGAAUAAAACGCUGACUGCACCCGGAGAAGCUCGGCGUGAAGCGGCUUUGGACAGGAGUUCGAUUCUCCUCAUCUCCACCA